UGUCCAGACUCCUACGGGAGGCAGCAGUGGGGAAUAUUGCACAAUGGGGGAAACCCUGAUGCAGCGACGCCGCGUGAGUGAAGAAGUAUUUCGGUAUGUAAAGCUCUAUCAGCAGGGAAGAUAAUGACGGUACCUGAGUAAGAAGCCCCGGCUAACUACGUGCCAGCAGCCGCGGUAAUACGUAGGGGGCAAGCGUUAUCCGGAUUUACUGGGUGUAAAGGGAGCGUAGACGGCAUGGCAAGUCUGAAGUGAAAGCCCGGGGCUCAACCGCGGGACUGCUUUGGAAACUGUUAAGCUGGAGUGCAGGAGGGGCAGGCGGAAUUCCUGGUGUAGCGGUGAAAUGCGUAGAUAUCAGGAGGAACACCGGCGGCGAAGGCGGCCUGCUGGACUGAAACUGACGUUGAGGCUCGAAAGCGUGGGGAGCAAACAGGAUUAGAUACCCCCGUA
This 447-nucleotide ribosomal RNA is filed under the name uncultured bacterium. Its description in RNAcentral is "bacterial SSU rRNA". It matches the Rfam family "Bacterial small subunit ribosomal RNA", at positions 328 to 792 of the family's 1533-position model. The record is from RNAcentral.